Molecule: ribosomal RNA, 253 nt
Filed under: uncultured bacterium
Lineage: Bacteria
Description: partial 16S ribosomal RNA
Rfam family: Bacterial small subunit ribosomal RNA
Source: RNAcentral
UACGUAGGGGGCAAGCGUUGUCCGGAUUUAUUGGGCGUAAAGAGCGUGUAGGCGGCCUGGUAGGUCAGCUGUGAAAACUCGAGGCUCAACCUCGAGACGCCGGUUGAAACCAUCAGGCUAGAGUCCGGAAGAGGAGAGUAGAAUUCCCGGUGUAGCGGUGAAAUGCGCAGAUAUCGGGAAGAACACCCGUGGCUAAGGCGGCUCUCUAGUACGGUACUGACGCUGAGACGCGAAAGCGUGGGGAGCGAACAGG